UACACCCCACUUCUUGUGGGGAGCCCCUGGACCAGCAGAGAGACCAUCAUUAGGGAGAUGGGAAGGAGGACGGUACAGUGGUGGGGCUGGCCAAGGCUUGCUGUGGACUGCUUUGACAGAAAAGCAAUCACUCACGCUCCACCUAAAGGUCUGUGAUUUAAUCCCAGGGGACCAACAAGGGGAGAUCCAAGAUAAACAACAUCUGUGCAUUCACAAAUAGGAAAUGGAGUUGCUUUCAUGUCCUGAGCCUGUUGAUUAACCAGGGUUGUUGUUUGGCUUGGCACUCGCUGCUCGGUGACUUGGAAAGAAGAACUUCCCUCGCUGUGAGUUGCGCCUGUUGCCUCUUGCUCUGUACCUCCAAGAAGAGUCUGGCUCCACCUUCUCAUCAACGCCCGGAGGUGGUGGAUGACAGUGGUUAGAUCCCCCCUUCGCUGCUUCCUCUCCGGAUGGGACCAACCCACUGCCAGAGUGGAAAGGCCUCUUCUGCUCCAGCCCCUCUCUGUGUGCACCCAGAAACAAAGCCAUGACCGAGCGGAGCAGCAGCGUGUGUUAACAGUGGAGCCAUCAGGAGAAAAGCAAGCAUGACUUUUAUCACAUCUUCCCAUACAGUCUCCAGGCCACCCCACAAACACACCCACCUCGUUCGCAAAGCCACGGGGCGCUGGGUCUGGGCAUGGUCCCCACCACCGCAAAGGUCCCUGAGGGGAAGAGGAGCAAAGCCCAGCGCCCACCCGGCUGAGGAUGCUGCAGCCACCGGGCACUGACCACACAGAUAUCUUCAGCCCAAAAAGGACACAGCUCCUCGGAGGGGAGACGGGGCACCUCGCUGCAAGGCAGAAGGCUGAGCGUGGUGGCCGGGGUGCGAGCAGGAGGGUGGGCAGGGGGCUGGUGCAGCCCAGUCCCCUGCCUGCCCCUGCCCUGCGUGGGAAGCCGCCAGACAGUGGCUCGCCUCUGAGGAACCGGAGAUUUAAUGAGCAGUUUUGGGAACACUCUCAGCUUUCCUACAAAGCUCUUUACUGUCUCUGGCACUAAUUACUAAAUGUUUCCGAAGCCGCUGUCUGGAUGAAACGAGGCCCUUCGUUACAGCGACGUUGUUGUGGGUAGCAGGGCGAUACUCGGCAGGUGUCUGCUCCACCCCGGGGGGGGAGUGUGGAUGUUAUUCCUAUCUUUUUCUCACGGGGAAAGAAAGGAUAAGGCCUCCC
Molecule: long non-coding RNA, 1202 nt
Organism: Harpia harpyja (harpy eagle)
Lineage: Eukaryota; Metazoa; Chordata; Aves; Accipitriformes; Accipitridae
Exons: 3
Source: RefSeq, a predicted model, not a curated record